RNAcentral lists this long non-coding RNA (712 nucleotides) under Pan troglodytes (chimpanzee). Its description in RNAcentral is "lncRNA (ENSPTRG00000053755.1)". Lineage: Eukaryota; Metazoa; Chordata; Mammalia; Primates; Hominidae. The record is from RNAcentral.
UAUAAACAAAAGACAUUCUUCUCAGAGAUGGCCUUAUUAAUCAGUUUAUUAUUCAAUGGGUCAGAAUUUGCAUUUUGGUGAGUAGUAUCGUUUUUUUCUCUUCAUGUUGCCGAAGUUGUAGUCACAUUACAAGAGAGCUCUAAAUUAACAGCACAGAUAUGCAGUUUCUUCAAGAGUAGUUAACUUUAUUUCAAAUGAAUUCUGCUUCCUCUGCCUGGCAUUUCUUUACCCGUUAUCUCCAAAUGUCCAAAUUCAACCUAUCACUUAAGACCUAUUUCAAAUGCUGUCUGCCCAUCACCUCCUUUGAAGCUUCUCUUCCCUCUUUCAACUGCCAUAGGGACAAUUUUUUCUAUAUCUCUCCUACAGAACAUAUCACUUUCUACCAUGCGUGCUGUUACUUAGUUGUGUGACUUACGUUGUCUACCAAAGUGAAAGCUUCUGAAGAUACCAUCACAGAGACCAGUACAGGGCCUCGCCCAACAUGGUCUCAGUAAAUAUCUCAAGAAUAAAUAAAGAGUGGGAAGAUGACACAGUAUGGAAAAUGUUAUCUGUAGAAGGAACAAAAGUCAAACAUAUGAUGUGUCAACGAAUGACUUUCACUUUGAUUUUGAAAACACCACCAAGAGUUUGGAAUGGAAAGUGUGGAGGUGCUAUUUUGGAACAAAUGGAAGAAAUAGAAGAAGAAAGGCAACAGAUAUGCAUGGAAACUUAA